RNAcentral lists this ribosomal RNA (365 nucleotides) under Staphylococcus sp. RNAcentral's name for it is "bacterial SSU rRNA". It matches the Rfam family "Bacterial small subunit ribosomal RNA", at positions 63 to 418 of the family's 1533-position model. Lineage: Bacteria; Bacillati; Bacillota; Bacilli; Caryophanales; Staphylococcaceae. The record is from RNAcentral.
CGAGCGACAGAUAAGGAGCUUGCUCCUUUGACGUUAGCGGCGGACGGGUGAGUAACACGUGGAUAACCUACCUAUAAGACUGGGAUAACUUCGGGAAACCGGAGCUAAUACCGGAUAAGAUUUUGAACCGCAUGGUUCAAUAGUGAAAGACGGCCUUGCUGUCACUUAUAGAUGGAUCCGCGCCGUAUUAGCUAGUUGGUAAGGUAACGGCUUACCAAGGCAACGAUACGUAGCCGACCUGAGAGGGUGAUCGGCCACACUGGAACUGAGACACGGUCCAGACUCCUACGGGAGGCAGCAGUAGGGAAUCUUCCGCAAUGGGCGAAAGCCUGACGGAGCAACGCCGCGUGAGUGAUGAAGGUCUU